RNAcentral lists this ribosomal RNA (460 nucleotides) under uncultured bacterium. RNAcentral's name for it is "partial 16S ribosomal RNA". It matches the Rfam family "Bacterial small subunit ribosomal RNA", at positions 338 to 795 of the family's 1533-position model. The record is from RNAcentral.
CCUACGGGAGGCUGCAGUGAGGAAUAUUGGUCAAUGGGCGGAAGCCUGAACCAGCCAAGUCGCGUGAGGGAAUAAGGCCCUACGGGGCGUAAACCUCUUUUGCCGGGGAGCAAGGGCGGGGACGUGUCCCGGCCCGGAGAGUACCCGGAGAAAAAGCAUCGGCUAACUCCGUGCCAGCAGCCGCGGUAAUACGGAGGAUGCGAGCGUUCUCCGGAUUUAUUGGGUUUAAAGGGUGCGUAGGCGGGCUUUUAUGUCAGCGGUAAAGAUUCGGGGCUAAACCCCGUCGGGCCGUUGAUACUGGGGGCCUGGAGUGGGCGAGAAGAAGGCGGAAUGCGUGGUGUAGCGGUGAAAUGCAUAGAUAUCACGCAGAACCCCGAUUGCGAAGGCAGCCUUCCGGCGCCCUACUGACGCUGAGGCACGAAAGUGCGGGGAUCGAACAGGAUUAGAUACCCUUGUAGUC